This 579-nucleotide unclassified non-coding RNA is filed under the name Cynara cardunculus var. scolymus (artichoke). RNAcentral's name for it is "partial external transcribed spacer". Lineage: Eukaryota; Viridiplantae; Streptophyta; Magnoliopsida; Asterales; Asteraceae. The record is from RNAcentral.
UGGCUUAAUCUUUGAGACAAGCAUAUGACUACUGGCAGGAUCAACCAGGUAGCAUUCCUCUUCGACGCAGCCCGUAACGCAAGGAGAAUCCAAGACGUGACGAACUAUCGUUUUGGAGAAGCGAGAACGCUUAACGAGGGCAGAUGUAGGAUCGUGUAAGACCCAUGCCCACAUCAGUUUCCGUAUACAAGAGACCAAGCGAUGCUUCAAGGGCCACAUCAUCGAUGCAAAUGCACCAACAAGGUGGAUCACGAAGCCCGCUUGAAGGUUCAUCCCACGCCGCAUGAACGACGCAUGACGAAAAGGGACAUCCAUAAACCCACACGUUACCAUCGGUUAGGUAUGCAACACAGGAAACCCACAAAAUGCUCAAGACAAAAGAAGCCUUGAACACAACUGAAGAGGCAUGCACGCGUGGACGUUGCUGCGCAAGCAGACAGCCAACCACCCGUAACAAACCAAACACCACUCAUGCACCUUUAGGGUCGACAUUCCCGAAAACCGUCCAACUAGUAGCGACCCACCCAACUCGAAAGCCGAGUAAGCAACCAAAAGCCAUAACAAUCCCCAGAAUGCACC